Molecule: long non-coding RNA, 2187 nt
Organism: Macaca fascicularis (crab-eating macaque)
Lineage: Eukaryota; Metazoa; Chordata; Mammalia; Primates; Cercopithecidae
Source: Ensembl
AUGAUCCCCUGGGGAGGUAGCAGGGACCUCUGCAACUAUGCACGAUCUCUCAAACUUCAAGAUUCAUGUCUGGAUGUGUUAUGCUGUGGACAUAAGUUUAGUAGGGCAGUCACUUCCUACUCUGAGUUACUGGUUACCUAGCCACUCCAUGGGUAUGACUUGGUCAUUAAGCCAGUUCACUACCUGCCUCCCACCCUGGGGUCAGGACUGAACUAUAGAAGAGCAUCAUGGCUGUGCAGGAGGCUAUGGUUUGAAAACUGAGCCCAGAGGGCACUUUCAGCUGCCCCCAAUAAUGUGAAUGGAUUAGUGCUAGGAGCCAAGGAGCAGGACUGGAUUAUCUCAUCUGACUGUGUGCAGAGUCCUGUUGAAUGUCCCUGUUUCUUUGGUUGGGUAGUCAGAGCUCUGCUAUGGUGAACAUCCAGACUGUCACCACCUUCUCUCUGCCCCUCGAAAGGGGCAGUCCUUUCCACUUGGUCCCCUUUGGAUCUUGACAAGAGGAGCAGUUCUUUUAUUGUUAGAUGUCAGAGAAAGACCUCCAGAAUCUCCUGACUUUAGGGAAUGGUAUAGGGGAAGAUGGGAAGUAAGAGCCACAUAUCAAACUACCCUCCACUUUAUUCCCUGAGCGAGGGUUUAUGAAGUAUAAAGGGGUGGGAGCCCCGAGGUGAGCAGAACGGUGCUGCUUCCACUCCAGCUCUCACAUUGACCAGUUUCAAUUCAGCUCAAUGCUCCUGCUUCUGAAGCCUGCCCAAUUUCUUUUUUCUUGGCCUCUGUUUUUGUUUUUGUUUUUGUUUCUUUUUUCUUUCUUUCUUUUGUCUCUUGUUUUUGUAGAAGAUUCAGAAAAGAAUCUUUCUUAUGGCUCCCUCUGUUGGGAUUGGAAUUGGAAGAGAACUUAAUUUUUUGUAUUUAAAAUGCAGUAUCAUGCCUAAGCAUUUCUCCUGUAUAGGACUGCCUUGCUAGUGUGCCCUCUUGCUGUGUCUUACUUCAUAAGGAGUUGUAUCUUCCCACCUCCAUUUCAAUACUGGUUGUUAGGACCUAAGCAGAAGAGCAGUAAAGGCUGAUUGACACACAGGGGGAUGGAGUUGGUCCUUACCCGUUCUCUAACCCUUGCUGUGCAUGUAUCGGUCCUUAUCCCAGAAGGUACUAUUUAGACUGUGUAGACUGAUGUAGAUUGCAUACUGUAGAGGAUUAAGGAAACCAUAGAGAUUGGGCCUUGGAACUAUUACUGCCUUCUCUUAGAGUUGUCCUGAUCAGGCUUGGGGCCUAGUUACAGAUUAGUCUUAAAGAGUCACAGUAACUUUAAAAAAAAUCAAACCUUGCAAAAGCUAAAAUAAUUUGGAGAUAUCUUUGCCCUUGACUUGUAGAUAUCUAAGAGGAUGAAGAAAGGAGAGUCUAAGUGAGACUCUGGCCUACUUCCUAACAAUGUCUUGGAAGUGGGAUGAUAGUAAAGGAGAAAGGCCACGGUCCAAUCCCUCUACCUUCAGAUAGGGAACUCAAAUCCUGAAAUUACUAUUUUCUUUCUGGCCUUUUCUCCUGGUUAGAGGAGGAAGUGGGAAGUAGUUUUGAGUAAUACUUUGUUCAUAUUACUCUCUUUUUUUGUUUUUGUUUUUGUUUUUUUGUUUGUUUCUGGCCCCUCUACCAAUAGGGCAAUAGCCCCCUACCCUGGAUGGGUAUAAGGUGGGCUUGGUCCAACAGGUGCCCAGAGGGUACAGACUCCUUUCUGGGGAGAGAAUGCUCCCUACCAUAUAGUUGACAGUGGUUAGGAACUCUCCCUUUCCCUACCUAUCUUCCUUUUAACAACAGAAUUCCUGUUUUUCCCUUCUUGAUUAAGUGUAUUGAUCACCCUGCAAUCCUAUUAUGUAUCUGAGUGUGUGUGUGUGUGUAUGUAUGUGUUAUGGGGGAAGGGGGGGUUCUUUAAAAUUUCUGUGGUUUGUGGCUUUUUCUUCCAUACAUUAGUUCCCACCAUCGCAUGCCCAGGGACCACUGCCUGGCAUUAUCGCAUGCUGGGAUCAUCGGGGGAGGGUAGUGAAGCUCACCACUGUCCUUUGUUUUGGAGAUUCUUAUUUUUGCAUAAGUAGUCCAUCCUAUGCAGAUAGCUGACUAACUGUAUUCCCCAUUCCCCUAUGGCUGCUGAUGUAAAUAAACUGCAUCUCCCCAUUGGUAAACAGUAAUAAACAAAAUUUUAAAAAA